This 520-nucleotide unclassified non-coding RNA is filed under the name uncultured Glomus. Its description in RNAcentral is "SSU rRNA". It matches the Rfam family "Eukaryotic small subunit ribosomal RNA", at positions 569 to 1090 of the family's 1831-position model. The record is from RNAcentral. Lineage: Eukaryota; Fungi; Glomeromycota; Glomeromycetes; Glomerales; Glomeraceae.
AGCAGCCGCGGUAAUUCCAGCUCCAAUAGCGUAUAUUAAAGUUGUUGCGGUUAAAAAGCUCGUAGUUGAAUUUCGGGAUCAGUACGCUGGUCAUGCCUUUGGUAUGCACUGGUGUCACUGGUUUCUCCCUUCUGAAGAUCCGUGAUGUCAUUAAUUUGGUGUCGCGGGGAAUCAGGACUGUUACUUUGAAAAAAUUAGAGUGUUUAAAGCAGGCUCACGCUUGAAUACAUUAGCAUGGAAUAAUGAAAUAGGACGUUUGACCCUAUUUUGUUGGUUUCUAGGAUCGACGUAAUGAUUAAUAGGGAUAGUUGGGGGCAUUAGUAUUCAAUUGUCAGAGGUGAAAUUCUUGGAUUUAUUGAAGACUAACUACUGCGAAAGCAUUUGCCAAGGAUGUUUUCAUUAAUCAAGAACGAAAGUUAGGGGAUCGAAGACGAUCAGAUACCGUCGUAGUCUUAACCAUAAACUAUGCCGACUAGGGAUCGGAUGAUGUUAAUUUUUUAAUGACUCAUUCGGCGCCUUA